UACGUAGGGACCAAGCGUUGUUCGGAUUUACUGGGCGUAAAGGGCGCGUAGGCGACAAUUCAAGUCAGCUGUGAAAUCUCCGGGCUUAACUCGGAACGGUCAGCUGAUACUGUUUUGCUAGAGUGCAGAAGGGGCAAUCGGAAUUCUUGGUGUAGCGGUGAAAUGCGUAGAUAUCAAGAGGAACACCUGAGGUGAAGACGGGUUGCUGGGCUGACACUGACGCUGAUGCGCGAAAGCCAGGGGAGCAAACGGG
RNAcentral lists this ribosomal RNA (253 nucleotides) under uncultured bacterium. RNAcentral describes it as "partial 16S ribosomal RNA". It matches the Rfam family "Bacterial small subunit ribosomal RNA", at positions 524 to 776 of the family's 1533-position model. The record is from RNAcentral.